This 234-nucleotide ribosomal RNA is filed under the name uncultured bacterium. RNAcentral's name for it is "partial 16S ribosomal RNA". It matches the Rfam family "Bacterial small subunit ribosomal RNA", at positions 96 to 334 of the family's 1533-position model. The record is from RNAcentral.
UGGCGGACGGGUGAGUAAUGUCUGGGAAACUGCCUGAUGGAGGGGGAUAACUACUGAAACGGUAGCUAAUACCGCAUAACGUCGCAAGACCAAAGAGGGGGACCUUCGGGCCUCUUGCCAUCGGAUGUGCCCAGAUGGGAUUAGCUAGUAGGUGGGGUAAAGGCUCACCUAGGCGACGAUCCCUAGCUGGUCUGAGAGGAUGACCAGCCACACUGGAACUGAGACACGGUCCAG